This is a long non-coding RNA of Mustela lutreola (European mink), 5512 nucleotides long. RefSeq lists it as uncharacterized. The record is from RefSeq and is a predicted model, not a curated record. The transcript has 2 exons. Lineage: Eukaryota; Metazoa; Chordata; Mammalia; Carnivora; Mustelidae.
AUAAUUCUGGGCCCAAAGAAAUCAGUAUCUACAGUGUGCCUUAGGGGGACUCUUGCAAUCAUCACUGUUCUCUAGCAAGCUUUCUAGAAACCAAAAAGCAACUGAAAUGGAAAAGCCAUCUAGUUCAUACACUGACCACUUGAUACCUUCUGUUGCUUGCAUUUCUGUACCAUCUCUGCUGUCAAAUGCAGCUGCUCCCUGGGUUUGUCCUGGGGGAAUUAACAGCCCAGAGAUGGGGUUUUUUGAUCCACAGCUACCAUUAAUUUCUUGUGGAAAUUAAUGUCCACAGCCUUUGUGCUAAUUCUCUCUAAUAAUAAUACAAAGUAAUGUUCCUUGCUUUUUUUCCCUAAAGGCAUGAUGUGGACAAGUGUCAUACAGCAUUUUGAAAUUAUUUUAAGAGAUGCUUUACAGAAAUAAAAAGGUAUUCUAGGUAACAUUUCGUCCUUUCUUUUAAUUUCUGAGGUCUUUUUGCACAAAUUUAUCAAAGAACUUGAGGUGGUGAUCAUGUUUCAUAGGGAGCCUGUUGACUGGUUACUUAUAGAAACAGUUUCUGGCCUCUGGCCCAAUUUCUUCAAAGGCCUGACAGUAGUCCCCUUGUCUGCAGCUUCAUUUCCCGUGGCUCGGUUACGCGCGGGCGCUAUGGUCCGGAAGCAAACGAUCCUCUUUCUGAUGUAUCCUCAGGUCAGUAGUAGUAUAAUGCCUCGUCACAGUGCCUGAUCAUUCACCUCCCUUCAUCUCAUUGCAUAGGCCCGUUAGCAUCUUACGCCAGGACAAGAGUGAGUAUCAGUGCAGUAAGACACUGAGGGAGAGACCACAUUCACAUAACUCAUUACAGCAUAUUAUUAUAAUUGUUCUAUUUUAUUGUUGUUUUACUCUUUACUGUGCCUAAUUUAUAAAUUAAACUUUACCACAGGGAUGGACAUAUAGGAAAAAUCAUAUAUAGGGCUCAGGACGACCUGCAGUUUCAGGCAUCCACCACCGAGGAUAACGGGGUGCUACCCUACUCAGCAACACGGUACGGGAAGUUUUCUUAAAGGAGGAAUGAGAUCUGCCGUUAGUGAUCACCUCCUCCUGCUUUACCAUUCAUCACUUAGGAGGUUCAACUGUGAGUUGGGUUUGAGUUUAGGAUACCUAUUUUUUCUGUAUUAUCCUUUUCCUUAAAAAGUGUGGGUCAUUUUAACAAAUAGUUGAACACUUAGUUUGCCAGGGAUUGCUCUAGAGCGCCCUCACAUACCUUAGUCUAUCUUCACAGUUGGAAUUCUAUUCAUAUUCCUUCUCCCCAGUUUACAGAGUGAGGAAACCUCAGAGUUUAAUGACUUUUCAAAGGUCUUCUAGCAUAGGAGAGGCAAAGGCGAGGUUAUGAAUUAUUUCUGACUCCAAGUCUAGUGCUUUUCUUGUUUUUUUUUUUUUUGUUUUGUUUUGUUUUUUAAGAUUUUAUUUAUUCAUUUGACAGAGAUCACAAGUAGGCAGAGAGGCAGACAGAGAGAGAGGAAGGGAAGCAGGCUCCCUGCCGUGCAGAGAGCCCGAUGUGGGACUCGAUCCCAGGAUCCCGGGAUCAUGACCUGAGCUGAAGGCAGAGGCUUUAACCCACUGAGCCACCCAGGCGCCCGCUUUUCUUGGUUUUUACCAUUUUUGUGACCCUGUCAAGCAGGGCUGCUAGGCUCCUGACAAAUGGUUGUGCCAGUCAUACACUGCACUAGGGCAGCCAACUGAAGGGAGACUUUUCUUGAUUUGUACAAUGGUAUGGCAUAGUCCUAAGUAGUGAGCAUGUUCGAAGUUUAUGUCCAGGGUUAUUCCCAACUUCUGAUUAUACCAGGUAUUUUCCCCUUAAAUACUGAAGGAGAUGCCUUCUGGCUACAGAAUUAGCAGUUACUGCUGAUACAGAUCUUUUGUUAGCUUUUUCAGCUAACAUGUCAGAUAGUACAUCUUUCUGCUCAUCAACAAGGGUAAACCAGUCUGACACGGGAAUCUUCCAGUGAAUUUGAAGGCAGCACCUUGACACUUUCUCUCCCUUCAUCUGUUCCUUCUUUUCCUUUUCUCCUGCCUAUGCCAGGAAUUGCGAAGUGGGGGAUACCUCUGAGCAUUGCUUGGCCUCUCAAGACCCAAGAGGUCAGCAGCUUGAGAGAGCUGGCCAGGCACAUCUUGCUCAGAAGCUGACAGUAGGGGACUUUCCAGUGAAAAAUCUUCUGUUCUAUUCCACAGCACACUAGGGAAUGUAAAGUUAAUAAUAGCCUUGGCUAUAGAACACACAUUUCUUAAAAUUUAGCCACUAUUUCUUAGUUACCUCAUAUACACAGCUCCAUAGAGUGGAAAUGGUCAGUCAUUUAACUAAAGUAAUAUAGCGUGUCUUCCUUUUAUUUACAGAAGACUAUUUAGCCUCUGCCUGGCUUGCCAUGUUCCUGUGAAUUGAAACCAAUAGGGUUCUCUACAUGUUAAUGUUUACAUUGCAAUAGCUCUAGCCAGGCAGUUGCUCCAGUCGUAAGCUCAGGUUGGAAAUGUUCUCAGGGAUAUUUUCAAGGCCUUGUAAUAAGUUAAAAAGCAACAGCUGGCUUAAGGUGAUCCCUGCCCCCUUCUCAGCUUCUUAAGGGAAAUUUUGUAGUAAUCUUGCUCAGUGAGUGCUCUUUGCACCACUAGGAGAAAUUGGCUAAUCGGUGUAUUAUUAUAAACAAAAGUUCUGACAUUUUACUAUGUUCCAGGAAUAAAAGGAAGUUGCAGUACAAUCUUUCCUAUUUCAGAGUCCGGAAUAACCUGGUUCCUGAUUUCUAGCUAUCCUAUUACAUAGAUUGGUCCUUGGCCAGCACCAAAGGAAAAGAUAGAAUUUUUUUUUCCCUAGACCUGUGUUUUUCCUGCUAUCCUACCUAGUCUUCCAUUUCUCUUUUUCUUCAUAUUAAAAGUGCCUCUUCCUACCUCAUUCCUUGACUGAGUUCAAUGUAUUAUUGGUUCCAAUGCUCUCAUCUCCUCAAAAUUACUGGAAUUAAAUGGUAAUUUUGGUAACUUACCUAAGCAUUUCACAUAAUUGCACAUAUUUUCUUUUUCUGUAUGAAUUUCCAUUAGCUCUCCUCAUUCACAGCUCUGGUUUGCUCCAUUUAUGUGGGUUAUUCUGGCUCCUUUUCCCUCCUGGCCUUUUGGCCAGUCAACUCUUCAUCAGGGGAAAGGAACAAAAUUCCUAUCUAUGAAUUGUGCUUUGUUAGGCACAGUGUGUUGGGGAGAACACAUUGGAAGUUAAAAUAAAGUGAGAUCUGAAGAUAAUUGAUGGACUCCUCUUUCUAUUCAUAUGGUAACCUUAUGCCCUGACUUCGGAGGGAUCAUUUCAGAAAAUCUUGUGGUCUUCGUAAGUACCCACUUACUUGCUUUGCCCUCGGGUUCUGAAAACAUGAUCGUAACAUCCAAAGGACACUCCCUUUUCAGUUUCCCAGUGAGCAAUGAAAUUGCGGAAAUAAUAGCAGGCUUUGGCGCUGUGACCCUUUAAGGCAGCCCUGAGCAUCUCUGCAGUUCUGGAUCCUGUCUGGUGAGAUCAGGAAUGAUUGGACCUUCUGAUCAGAUGAAUAGUCCAUCUGAUUUUCAAAUAUGCCAAGCAUCUCCUGGAGAAGAAAGUUGUUUCUCUUUAACCAAGGAAUUUCCAUCACUUAAUUCAAAUAUUUAAAAGACAGGAUGAAACAUCUCAAUUAAAAUUUUCUAUCCAAGAGGAUUAUUUUCCCAGUGUAAAAUCCACCAACUUCCAGGAUAUGCCUGAGUCAUUGUGGCUGAGAUGUGCCCAAGACUGGACCACUUGUUUUUGAUACAAUGGACUCUUCAUAAUGCCAGCUUGGGGACAAAAGUUGUUUUGUAGGGAGUCAUGAAUUGAGGCACCUCACUGGACACUGGUCUGUCUGAGAGGAGAGAGAGGACAGACCUCGAUGGUUUAAUUAACAACUGAACAUUAAAAGACAACCUACUGAAUGGGAGUAGAUAUUUGUAAAUGAGAUAUCUGAUAAAGGAUUAUUAUCCAAAAUAUAUAAAGAACUUAUACAACCCUAAAAAACAAAGAAUCCAAUUCAAAAAGGGCAGAAGACAUAAACAGACAUUUUUCCAAAGAAGACCUACAGAUGGCCAUCUUUUCCAAAGAAGACCUACAGAUGGCCAACAGAAAAGAUGCUCAACGUCACUUAUCAUCAGGGAAAUGCAAAUCAAAACUACAAUGAGAUAUCACCUCACACCUGCCAGAAUGACUAAAAUCAGCAACAAAGGAAACAACAGAUGUUGGUGAAGAUACAGAGAAAAAGGAACUCUUUUAUUUUUUUUUUUUAAAGAUUUUAUUUAUUUAUUUGUCAGAGAGAGAGCGAGAGCGAGCACAGGCAGACAGAGUGGAAGGCAGAGUCAGAGGGAGAGGGAGAAGCAGGCUCCCUGAGGAGCAAGGAGCCUGAUGUGGGACUCCAUCCCAGGACGCUGGGAUCAUGACCUGAGCCGAAGGCAGCUGCUUAACCAACUGAGCCACCCAGGCGUCCCGAAAAAAAGGAACUCUUGUGCACAGCUGGUGGGAACGCAAACUGGUGCAGCCACUCUGGAUAAUGUAUGGAGGUUCCUCAAAAAAUUAAAAAUAGAGCUACCCUGUGCCCCAGUAAUUGCACUACUGGACACUUACCCAAAGAAUACAAAAACACUAAUCGAAGGGAUUUUUAUAGCAGCAUUAUCUACAAUAGCCAGAUUAUGGAAGCAGCCCAAGUGUCGAUCAAUUGAUAAAUGGAUAAAGAAGAUGUGGUAUACAGUGAGAUACCACCUCACACCAGUCAGAAUGGCUAAAAUUAACCAGUAAGGAAACAACAGGUAUUGGUGAGGAUGCGGAAAAAGAGGAACCCUCCUAUGCUGUUGGUGGGAAUGCAAUCUGGUGCAGCCACUCUGGAAAACAGGAUGGAGGUUCCUCAAAAAGUUGAAAAUAGAGCUACCCUACGGCCCAGCAAUUGCACUACUGGGUAUUUACCCUAAAAAUACAAAUGUAGAGAUCCGAAGGGACACGUGUACACGAAAGUUUAUAGCAGCAAUGUCCAUAAUAGCCAAACUAUGGAAAGAACCUAGAUAUCCAUCAACAGAUGAAUGGAUAAAGAAGAUGUGGUAUAUAUAUACAGUGGAAUACUAUGUAGCCAUCAAAAAACCCCCAAAUCUUGACAUGUACAACGAUGUGGAUGGAACUAGGGGUUAUUAUGCUAAGCAAAGUAAGUCAACCAGAGAAAGACAAUUAUAUGUUCUCUCUGAUAUGAGGAAUUUGAGAGGCAGGGCAGGGGAUCGUGGGGGUAGGGAGAGAAAAAGUAAGACAAGAAGUGAUGGGGAAGGGAGACAAACCAUGAGACUCAAUCUCAGGAGACAAACUGAGGGGUGCUGGGGGGUGGGAAAGUAGGGAUAGGGUGGCUGAGUGAUGGACAUUGUGGAGGGUAUGUGCUAUGGUGAGUGCUAUGAAUUGUGUAAGACCGAUGAUUCACAGACCUGUACUCCUGAAGCAAAUAAUACAUUAUAUGUUAAUAAAAUUUUUUUGAAAAGA